GUGGGGAAUUUUGGACAAUGGGCGCAAGCCUGAUCCAGCAAUGCCGCGUGCAGGAAGAAGGCCUUCGGGUUGUAAACUGCUUUUGUACGGAACGAAAAGGCUCUGGUUAAUACCUGGGGCUCAUGACGGUACCGUAAGAAUAAGCACCGGCUAACUACGUGCCAGCAGCCGCGGUAAUACGUAGGGUGCAAGCGUUAAUCGGAAUUACUGGGCGUAAAGCGUGCGCAGGCGGGUUUGUAAGACAGACGUGAAAUCCCCGGGCUCAACCUGGGAAUGGCGUUUGUGACUGCAAAGCUGGAGUGCGGCAGAGGGGGAUGGAAUUCCGCGUGUAGCAGUGAAAUGCGUAGAUAUGCGGAGGAACACCGAUGGCGAAGGCAAUCCCCUGGGCCUGCACUGACGCUCAUGCACGAAAGCGUGGGGAGCAAACAGGAUUAGAAACCCGGGUAGUCC
RNAcentral lists this ribosomal RNA (450 nucleotides) under uncultured bacterium. RNAcentral's name for it is "partial 16S ribosomal RNA". It matches the Rfam family "Bacterial small subunit ribosomal RNA", at positions 354 to 796 of the family's 1533-position model. The record is from RNAcentral.